AAAAAGAAAAGGAAGGAUUGUUAGGGGAAAUCAACCUAGUUAGCAUAUGUGACUCCAUUUUGGGUUUCAUCUUGGCCAUUAAGUAGAAGCGAGCACAUCACGUACCAAGGGAGGAUCCUUCAGGGUGGACAGCUGGACAGUUUCAAGAUAAGGGAAACAAAGGAGACAGGAACCAGCCAACAUGCCUGAAAUAGUUGCUAAUUCAGCUUUUUUGCAUGGGGAAGGUGGCUGCAGGGGAUUGGUAAUAGAUAAGGAGAAGGCCUGUUUAUUAGUUUAGGCCCCCCGAGGCACACAGGCAGGAUGUUUUGCCAACAGUAUAUAAUCUUUGUGUAACCUGUAAUCGGGGUCCCGUUCUGCUUAACAGAGCGGUACCACGCUUGAGCAUAAUAAAACU
This is a long non-coding RNA of Dermochelys coriacea (leatherback sea turtle), 394 nucleotides long. RefSeq lists it as uncharacterized. The record is from RefSeq and is a predicted model, not a curated record. The transcript is spliced from 3 exons. NCBI's taxonomy places the organism in Eukaryota, Metazoa, Chordata, Testudines, Dermochelyidae.